UGGGAUUUCCCCAUGGAAAAAGGGUCUGAUCCUCAUGGGAUUUCCCCCUGGGAUUUCCCCAUGGAAAAAGGGUCUGAUCCUCAUGGGAUUUCCCUGUGGAAAAAAGGAUCUGAUCCCCCUGUAAGGAAGUUCCUCCCAGGGGGUUCAGAUCCAGAUUUGGGGUUGGGAUUGGGAUUUCCCCGUGGAAAAAGGGUCUGAUCCCCAUGGAAGAAAGCUCCUCCCAGGGGGGUUCAGACCCGAAUUUGGGAUCGAGUUUGGGAUUUCCCCAUGGAACAAGGGUCAGAUCCCCCUGCAAGGCAGCUCCUUUCAGUGGGUUCAGAUCCAGAUUUGGGAUUGGGAUUUCCCCAU
This is a long non-coding RNA of Melozone crissalis (California towhee), 348 nucleotides long. RefSeq lists it as uncharacterized. The record is from RefSeq and is a predicted model, not a curated record. The transcript is spliced from 2 exons. Lineage: Eukaryota; Metazoa; Chordata; Aves; Passeriformes; Passerellidae.